CGUAGCUUGCUACACCAUAGACUGUGAGUUGCGAACGGGUGAGUAACGCGUAGGUAACCUGCCUAUUAGAGGGGGAUAACUAUUGGAAACGAUAGCUAAUACCGCAUAACAGUAUGUAACACAUGUUAGAUGCUUGAAAGAUGCAAUUGCAUCGCUAGUAGAUGGACCUGCGUUGUAUUAGCUAGUAGGUAGGGUAAUGGCCUACCUAGGCGACGAUACAUAGCCGACCUGAGAGGGUGAUCGGCCACACUGGGACUGAGACACGGCCCAGACUCCUACGGGAGGCAGCAGUAGGGAAUCUUCGGCAAUGGGGGGAAACCCCUGACCGAGCAAACGCCGCGUGAGUGAAGAAAGGUUUUCGGAUUCGUAAAGCUUCU
Molecule: ribosomal RNA, 377 nt
Filed under: Streptococcus anginosus
Lineage: Bacteria; Bacillati; Bacillota; Bacilli; Lactobacillales; Streptococcaceae
Description: bacterial SSU rRNA
Rfam family: Bacterial small subunit ribosomal RNA
Source: RNAcentral